CCUACGGGUGGCAGCAGUGAGGAAUAUUGGUCAAUGGACGAGAGUCUGAACCAGCCAAGUAGCGUGAAGGAUGACUGCCCUAUGGGUUGUAAACUUCUUUUAUAUGGGAAUAAAACGUUCCACGUGUGGGAUUUUGUAUGUACCAUAUGAAUAAGGAUCGGCUAACUCCGUGCCAGCAGCCGCGGUAAUACGGAGGAUCCGAGCGUUAUCCGGAUUUAUUGGGUUUAAAUGGAGCGUAGGUGGAUUGUUAAGUCAGUUGUGAAAGUUUGCGGCUCAACCGUAAAAUUGCAGUUGAAACUGGCAGUCUUGAGUACAGUAGAGGUGGGCGGAAUUCGUGGUGUAGCGGUGAAAUGCUUAGAUAUCACGAAGAACUCCGAUUGCGAAGGCAGUUCACUGGACUGCAACUGACACUGAGGCUCGAAAGUGUGGGUAUCAAACAGGAUUAGAUACCCCUGUAGUC
Molecule: ribosomal RNA, 460 nt
Filed under: uncultured bacterium
Lineage: Bacteria
Description: partial 16S ribosomal RNA
Rfam family: Bacterial small subunit ribosomal RNA
Source: RNAcentral